RNAcentral lists this transfer RNA (74 nucleotides) under Kushneria sinocarnis. RNAcentral describes it as "Kushneria sp. Z35 tRNA". It matches the Rfam family "tRNA". From Rfam's summary of the family: Transfer RNA (tRNA) molecules are approximately 80 nucleotides in length. Their secondary structure includes four short double-helical elements and three loops (D, anti-codon, and T loops). The record is from Rfam by way of RNAcentral. Lineage: Bacteria; Pseudomonadati; Pseudomonadota; Gammaproteobacteria; Oceanospirillales; Halomonadaceae.
CGGGGCGUAGCGCAGCUUGGUAGCGCGCAACAAUGGGGUUGUUGAGGUCGCUGGUUCGAAUCCAGUCGCCCCGA